CCUUCUUUUCUUGCAUUGCUAUACUUUCCAAUCCAACUUAAAAGAUAGCAGCAUGCUCUUAUUCAAUUAUAAACUCAUCUAUGAGUCCUCCAACUUUGUGUAACCAAUAAUGUUACUCAACUGCCCGUGAAGAGUAAAUUUCGUUCCUUUGCCACUGUACCAAGGAUAGUUAGUUGCUCAAUGCUUAACACGGUGCAAUCUUUCUAAGAGAAUCAACUCAGGUGUGGAUAGGCGAGGUGAGGACCAUCAACUGUAGGCUGCCUCCAGAUAUCAACUCUUGGUUGGUGAGCUCCACAUCUUCCUGGAGUAUUGCCGAGUCACAUUCUAUAUAUGUUACUUUGUUUUAUGAAGAUGUCGGGGACCCUGUCCCGACUUAUAUAUUAUGAUCAUGCUUUCUUAGAGGUUUUGCAGACAGUGUCCUAUGUAUAGCUUUAGGUACGACAUGUCAACAGCCUUGUCGGCCCCUAUGUAUAUAUAUAAACCUUUCUGAAUUA
This is a non-coding RNA of Nicotiana tabacum (common tobacco), 494 nucleotides long. Lineage: Eukaryota; Viridiplantae; Streptophyta; Magnoliopsida; Solanales; Solanaceae. The record is from RefSeq and is a predicted model, not a curated record.